RNAcentral lists this ribosomal RNA (253 nucleotides) under uncultured bacterium. Its description in RNAcentral is "partial 16S ribosomal RNA". It matches the Rfam family "Bacterial small subunit ribosomal RNA", at positions 524 to 776 of the family's 1533-position model. The record is from RNAcentral.
UACGUAGGGGGCAAGCGUUGUCCGGAAUUACUGGGCGUAAAGGGCGCGUAGGCGGCCUAGCAAGUUUCGUGUGGAAACCCUGUUUUUAAGGCAGGAGGUGCACGGAAAACUGCAAGGCUUGAGUGCAGGAGAGGGAAGCGGAAUUCCAAGUGUAGCGGUAAAAUGCGCAGAUAUUUGGAGGAACACCGGUGGCGAAGGCGGCUUUCUGGACUGUAACUGACGCUGAUGCGCGAAAGCGUGGGGAGCAAACAGG